Molecule: ribosomal RNA, 492 nt
Filed under: uncultured bacterium
Lineage: Bacteria
Description: partial 16S ribosomal RNA
Rfam family: Bacterial small subunit ribosomal RNA
Source: RNAcentral
AGUGAACGCUGGCGGUAGGCCUAACACAUGCAAGUCGAACGGCAGCACAGUAAGAGCUUGCUCUUACGGGUGGCGAGUGGCGGACGGGUGAGGAAUACAUCGGAAUCUACUUUUUCGUGGGGGAUAACGUAGGGAAACUUACGCUAAUACCGCAUACGACCUACGGGUGAAAGCAGGGGAUCGUCGGACCUUGCGCGAUUGAAUGAGCCGAUGUCGGAUUAGCUAGUUGGCGGGGUAAAGGCCCACCAAGGCGACGAUCCGUAGCUGGUCUGAGAGGAUGAUCAGCCACACUGGAACUGAGACACGGUCCAGACUCCUACGGGAGGCAGCAGUGGGGAAUAUUGGACAAUGGGGGCAAGCCUGAUCCAGCCAUACCGCGUGGGUGAAGAAGGCCUUCGGGUUGUAAAGCCCUUUUGUUGGGAAAGAAAAGCAGCAGGUUAAUACCCCGCUGUUCUGACGGUACCCAAAGAAUAAGCACCGGCUAACUUCGUG